GACAGAGGAUGCAAGCGUUAUCCGGAAUGAUUGGGCGUAAAGCGUCUGUAGGUGGCUUUUAAGUCCGCCGUCAAAUCCCAGGGCUCAACCCUGGACAGGCGGUGGAAACUACCAAGCUGGAGUACGGUAGGGCAGAGGGAAUUCCGGUGGAGCGGUGAGAUGCGUAGAGAUCGGAAAGAACACCAACGGCGAAAGCACUCUGCUGGGCCGACACUGACACUGAGAGACGAAAGCUAGGGGAGCGAACGGG
Molecule: ribosomal RNA, 250 nt
Filed under: uncultured bacterium
Lineage: Bacteria
Description: partial 16S ribosomal RNA
Rfam family: Bacterial small subunit ribosomal RNA
Source: RNAcentral